GGUUUGUUUGUAGAGCUCCUUGAAGUCCAAAAGAGGUUCUUUCGGGGAAAAUUGAGCUGCUAAUCCAUGGAUCCCUCAACCCUAUCCAUAUCUAUAGAUCCAUAUUGGAUAGGUUUGUGGGUUGCAUGUAUCAGGAGCCUGCAUUUCUCAAGUUGGAUCCUUCUUUGGAUUGAAGGGAGCUCUAUACUUAUCCCUA
This 196-nucleotide microRNA precursor is filed under the name Olea europaea subsp. europaea. RNAcentral's name for it is "MIR159 microRNA precursor family". It matches the Rfam family "MIR159 microRNA precursor family". The record is from Rfam by way of RNAcentral. Lineage: Eukaryota; Viridiplantae; Streptophyta; Magnoliopsida; Lamiales; Oleaceae.